GGCGGCGGCACCGGCACCUUGCAGUAUCACUGGGGAGACGGCGGCUGUAUAGCGCUUGCCGCCCCACGGAUUAUCCCAGCAGGAUCUACGCACCCCGCAUCCUCCGUAGUUCCGCCCUAUCCUUGUCCUCCUUGGCUGGGGCGCCCACCGGCGGUCUGAUAGGCUACAUCGCGGCAUGAGAUGAAGCUGUGACAGGUUUGAAAACACAAACACAAUGGCAGGAAACAGCCUUGUUCUACCCAUUGUUCUUUGGGGUCGAAAAGCGCCCACACAUUGCAUCUCAGCCGUACUUUUAACAGAUGAUGGGGCCACGAUCGUAACAGGAUGUCACGACGGACAAAUAUGUCUCUGGGAUCUUUCAGUAGAACUGCAAGUGAAUUAAUCCUCGAGCACUGUUGUUUGGUCAUACAGCAUCAAUCACUUGUUUGUCUAAAGCUUGUGCUUCCAGUGACAAACAGUAUAUUGUGAGUGCAUCUGAAAGUGGAGAGAUGUGCCUCUGGGAUGUGAGUGAUGGCAGAUGUAUUGAAUUUACAAAAUUAGCUUGCACACAUACUGGCAUACAGUUCUACCAGUUCUCUGUUGGGAAUCAGCGAGAAGGAAGGCUUUUAUGCCACGGACAUUACCCUGAAAUCCUUGUUGUGGAUGCUACCAGCCUUGAAGUAUUAUACUCCUUAGUAUCAAAGAUAUCACCAGACUGGAUUAGCUCCAUGAGUAUUAUUCGAUCC
This 725-nucleotide long non-coding RNA is filed under the name Homo sapiens (human). Its description in RNAcentral is "HSALNT0251676". Lineage: Eukaryota; Metazoa; Chordata; Mammalia; Primates; Hominidae. The record is from RNAcentral.